RNAcentral lists this ribosomal RNA (480 nucleotides) under uncultured bacterium. Its description in RNAcentral is "partial 16S ribosomal RNA". It matches the Rfam family "Bacterial small subunit ribosomal RNA", at positions 28 to 507 of the family's 1533-position model. The record is from RNAcentral.
GAUGAACGCUGGCGGCGCGCCUAACACAUGCAAGUCGAGCGAUGAAAUUUUAACCGAUCUCUUCGGAGAGAAGAUAAAAUGGAUUAGCGGCGGACGGGUGAGUAACACGUGAGAAACCUGCCUUCUACAAGGGGAUAGCCUCGGGAAACCGGGAUUAAUACCCUAUGACACAUUUCAUUCGCAUGGAAGUAAUGUUAAAAGUCCGGUGGUGAAAGAUGGUCUCGUGCCUGAUUAGCUAGUUGGUGGGGUAACGGACCACCAAGGCCAGGAUCAGUAACCGGGCUGAGAGGGUGAACGGUCACAAUGGGACGGAGACACGGUCCAAACUCCUACGGGAGGGAGGAGUGGGGAAUAUUGCACAAUGGAGGGAACUCUGAUGCAGCGACGCCGCGUGAACGAUGAAAGCUUUCGAGUCGUUAAGCUCUGGUCUAUGGGAAGAUAAUGACGGUACCAUAGGAGGAAGCCCCGGCUAACUACGUG